ACUCAAAUGAAUUGACGGGGACCUGCACAAGUGGUGGAACAUGCGGUUUAAUUCGAUGUCACGCGAAAAACCUUACCAACUCUUGACAUGGUGGUCGCGAGGUGCAGAAAUGUACUUCUUCAGUUCGGCUGGACCACACACAGGUGUUGCAUGGCCGUCGUCAGCUCGUGUUGUGAGAUGUUAGGUUAAGUCCUGCAACGAGCGCAACCCCUAUCCUUAUUUGCCAGCGGGUUAAGCCGGGAACUAUAAGGAAACUGCCAGCGACAAGCUGGAGGAAGGUGGGGAUGAAGUCAGGUCAGCAUGGCCCUUAUGGGUUGGGCUACACGCGUGUUACAAUGGUAAUGACAAAGGGAAACGAAGGAGCGAUCUGGAGUCAAUCUCAUAAAAAUUACCUUAGUUCGGAUUGCACUCUGCAACUCGGGUGCAUGAAGUUGGAAUCACUAGUAAUCGUAGAUCAGCACGCUACGGUGAAUACGUUCACAGGUCUUGUACACACCGCCCGU
Molecule: ribosomal RNA, 503 nt
Filed under: uncultured bacterium
Lineage: Bacteria
Description: partial 16S ribosomal RNA
Rfam family: Bacterial small subunit ribosomal RNA
Source: RNAcentral